This 182-nucleotide ribosomal RNA is filed under the name Candidatus Bathyarchaeota archaeon. RNAcentral describes it as "partial 16S ribosomal RNA". It matches the Rfam family "Archaeal small subunit ribosomal RNA", at positions 489 to 671 of the family's 1478-position model. Lineage: Archaea; Thermoproteati; Candidatus Bathyarchaeota. The record is from RNAcentral.
UGGUAGGGAUGAUUAUUGGGCUUAAAGCGUCCGUAGCCGGCUCAACAAGUCCCCUGUUAAAUCCAACGACCCAAUCGCUGGACUGCAGGAGAUACUGCUGGGCUAGGGGACGGGAGAGGCCGACGGUAUUUCCGGGGGAGGGGUGAAAUCCUAUAAUCCCGGGAGGACCACCAGUGGCGAAG